RNAcentral lists this ribosomal RNA (465 nucleotides) under uncultured bacterium. RNAcentral's name for it is "partial 16S ribosomal RNA". It matches the Rfam family "Bacterial small subunit ribosomal RNA", at positions 29 to 507 of the family's 1533-position model. The record is from RNAcentral.
AUGAACGCUGGCGGCGUGCUUAACACAUGCAAGUCGAACGGAAAGGCCCAAGCUUGCUUGGGUACUCGAGUGGCGAACGGGUGAGUAACACGUGGGUGAUCUGCCCUGCACUUCGGGAUAAGCCUGGGAAACUGGGUCUAAUACCGGAUAGGACCACAUUUUGGAUGGUGUGGUGGAAAGUUUUUCGGUGUGGGAUGAGCUCGCGGCCUAUCAGCUUGUUGGUGGGGUAAUGGCCUACCAAGGCGUCGACGGGUAGCCGGCCUGAGAGGGUGUACGGCCACAUUGGGACUGAGAUACGGCCCAGACUCCUACGGGAGGCAGCAGUGGGGAAUAUUGCACAAUGGGCGCAAGCCUGAUGCAGCGACGCCGCGUGGGGGAGGACGGCCUUCGGGUUGUAAACUCCUUUCGCUAGGGACGAAGCGUUAUGUGACGGUACCUGGAGAAGAAGCACCGGCUAACUACGUG